GCAUGGCUGAAUUCUGUUUUACUCUGUCAGUAGUAAAUGCAGUCAGACACCAUGCUAAAGGAUUUCUUUCACUUAUGAACUCAAUCAAAGGAGAUGAGUGCUGUUCUGUGCAUUAUUCUUCUGUCAGAGUGAAUACAACA
Molecule: small nucleolar RNA, 140 nt
Organism: Lampris incognitus (smalleye Pacific opah)
Lineage: Eukaryota; Metazoa; Chordata; Actinopteri; Lampriformes; Lampridae
Product: small nucleolar RNA SNORA15
Exons: 1
Source: RefSeq, a predicted model, not a curated record